UGGUAAUUGGCUCGGCCUUACAACGACAAACAAGUUUGACCUCAAAUCAGGUAGGAUUACCCGCUGAACUUAAGCAUAUCAAUAAGCGGAGGAAAAGAAACCAACAGGGAUUGCCUUAGUAGCGGCGAGUGAAGCGGCAAUAGCUCAAAUUUGAAAUCUGGCGUCUUCGGCGUCCGAGUUGUAAUUUGAAGAAGGUAUCUUUGGAAUUGGCUCUUGUCUAUGUUCCUUGGAACAGGACGUCACAGAGGGUGAGAAUCCCGUGCGAUGAGAUGCCCAAUUCCGUGUAAAGUUCCUUCGACGAGUCGAGUUGUUUGGGAAUGCAGCUCUAAGUGGGUGGUAAAUUCCAUCUAAAGCUAAAUAUUGGCGAGAGACCGAUAGCGAACAAGUACUGUGAAGGAAAGAUGAAAAGAACUUUGAAAAGAGAGUGAAAAAGUACGUGAAAUUGUUGAAAGGGAAGGGCUUGAGGUCAGACUUGGUUUACCAGGCCAGCAUCAGUUUGGACGGCAGGAUAAUAGCUAAGGAAUGUGGCACCACCUCGGUGGUGUGUUAUAGUCUUGGUUGAUACUGCCUGUCUAGACUGAGGACUGCGUCUUGACUAGGAUGCUGC
RNAcentral lists this ribosomal RNA (607 nucleotides) under Yamadazyma laniorum. Its description in RNAcentral is "eukaryotic LSU rRNA". It matches the Rfam family "Eukaryotic large subunit ribosomal RNA", at positions 1 to 629 of the family's 3401-position model. The record is from RNAcentral. Lineage: Eukaryota; Fungi; Ascomycota; Pichiomycetes; Serinales; Debaryomycetaceae.